This 253-nucleotide ribosomal RNA is filed under the name uncultured bacterium. RNAcentral's name for it is "partial 16S ribosomal RNA". It matches the Rfam family "Bacterial small subunit ribosomal RNA", at positions 524 to 776 of the family's 1533-position model. The record is from RNAcentral.
UACGGGGGGGGCAAGCGUUGUUCGGAAUUACUGGGCGUAAAGGGCUCGUAGGCGGCCAACUAAGUCAGACGUGAAAUCCCUCGGCUUAACCGGGGAACUGCAUCUGAUACUGGAUGGCUUGAGUUCGGGAGAGGGAUGCGGAAUUCCAGGUGUAGCGGUGAAAUGCGUAGAUAUCGGGAGGAACACCUGUGGCGAAAGCGGCGCACUGGACCACAACUGACGCUGAGGCGCGAAAGCUAGGGGAGCAAACAGG